GUUUAAAUAGCUUAAAUUUUAAAGCUUAACAUUGAAAAUGUUAUUAUGGGUGUGUAUCCUUUAAACA
Molecule: transfer RNA, 67 nt
Filed under: Dichoptera sp. WW-2021a
Lineage: Eukaryota; Metazoa; Arthropoda; Insecta; Hemiptera; Fulgoridae
Description: tRNA-Phe
Rfam family: tRNA
About the family: Transfer RNA (tRNA) molecules are approximately 80 nucleotides in length. Their secondary structure includes four short double-helical elements and three loops (D, anti-codon, and T loops). Further hydrogen bonds mediate the characteristic L-shaped molecular structure. tRNAs have two regions of fundamental functional importance: the anti-codon, which is responsible for specific mRNA codon recognition, and the 3' end, to which the tRNAs corresponding amino acid is attached (by aminoacyl-tRNA synthetases). tRNAs cope with the degeneracy of the genetic code in two manners: having more than one tRNA (with a specific anti-codon) for a particular amino acid; and 'wobble' base-pairing, i.e. permitting non-standard base-pairing at the 3rd anti-codon position.
Source: RNAcentral